Molecule: microRNA, 24 nt
Filed under: Ananas comosus (pineapple)
Lineage: Eukaryota; Viridiplantae; Streptophyta; Magnoliopsida; Poales; Bromeliaceae
Description: microRNA s0658_c88a
Source: RNAcentral
GAUAGAGCUUACUCCUUAUGCAUU